GAUGAACGCUGGCGGCGUGCCUAAUACAUGCAAGUCGAGCGAAUGGAUUAAGAGCUUGCUCUUAUGAAGUUAGCGGCGGACGGGUGAGUAACACGUGGGUAACCUGCCCAUAAGACUGGGAUAACUCCGGGAAACCGGGGCUAAUACCGGAUAACAAUUUGAACCGCAUGGUUCGAAAUUGAAAGGCAGCUUCGGCUGUCACUUAUGGAUGGAACCGCGUCGCAUUAGCUAGUUGGUGAGGUAACGGCUCACCAAGGCAACGAUGCGUAGCCGACCUGAGAGGGUGAUCGGCCACACUGGGACUGAGACACGGCCCAGACUCCUACGGGAGGCAGCAGUAGGGAAUCUUCCGCAAUGGACGAAAGUCUGACGGAGCAACGCCGCGUGAGUGAUGAAGGCUUUCGGGUCGUAAAACUCUGUUGUUAGGGAAGAACAAGUGCUAGUUGAAUAAGCUGGCACCUUGACGGUACCUAACCAGAAAGCCACGGCUAACUACGUGCCAGCAGCCGCCGUAA
RNAcentral lists this ribosomal RNA (515 nucleotides) under uncultured bacterium. RNAcentral describes it as "partial 16S ribosomal RNA". It matches the Rfam family "Bacterial small subunit ribosomal RNA", at positions 28 to 523 of the family's 1533-position model. The record is from RNAcentral.